Molecule: ribosomal RNA, 440 nt
Filed under: uncultured bacterium
Lineage: Bacteria
Description: partial 16S ribosomal RNA
Rfam family: Bacterial small subunit ribosomal RNA
Source: RNAcentral
CCUACGGGAGGCAGCAGUGGGGAAUAUUGCACAAUGGGGGAAACCCUGAUGCAGCGACGCCGCGUGAGUGAAGAAGUAAUUCGUUAUGUAAAGAUCUAUCAGAAGGGAAGAAAAUGACGGUACCUGAGUAAGAAGCCCCUGCCAAAUACGUGCCAGCAGCCGCGGUAAUACGUAGGGGGCAAGCGUUAGCCGGAUUUACUGGGUGUAACGGGAACGUAGAUGGCAGUGCAAGACUGGAGUGAAAGUCGGGGGGUCAACCCCCGGACUGCUCUGGAAACUGUACGGCUGGAGUGCGGGAGAGGUAAGUGGAAUUCCUAGUGUAGCGGUGAAAUGCAUAGAUAUUAGGAGGAACACCAGUGGCGAAGGCAGCUUACUGGACUUUAACUGACGUUGAGGGUCGAAAGCGUGGGGAGCAAACAGGAUUAGAUACCCCAGUAGUC